RNAcentral lists this ribosomal RNA (751 nucleotides) under uncultured Diversispora. RNAcentral describes it as "eukaryotic LSU rRNA". It matches the Rfam family "Eukaryotic large subunit ribosomal RNA", at positions 38 to 648 of the family's 3401-position model. The record is from RNAcentral. Lineage: Eukaryota; Fungi; Glomeromycota; Glomeromycetes; Diversisporales; Diversisporaceae.
GCAUAUCAAUAAGCGGAGGAAAAGAAACUAACAAGGAUUCCCCUAGUAACGGCGAGUGAAGAGGGAAAAGCUCAAAUUUUAAAUCUACCUGGUUCCCAGGUCGAAUUGUAAUUUGAAGAAGCGAUAUCGGUGUUGAGGUCUGGUUUAAGUUCUUUGGAACAAGAUAUCAUGGAGGGUGAGAAUCCCGUGCAUGAUCAGGCCAAGAUGCACUUAAUAUUCGUUUUCUAAGAGUCGAGUUGUUUGGGAAUGCAGCUCAAAAUGGGUGGUAGACUUCACCUAAGGCUAAAUAUCAGCGAGAGACCGAUAGCGAACAAGUACUGUGAAGGAAAGAUGAAAAGAACUUUGAAAAGAGAGUUAAAUAGUACGUGAAAUUGUUGAAAGGGAAACGAUUGAAGUCAGUCAUGCCAGUGAAAAUUCAGUUUGGCGGGUUUUUGGUCUUUUGAUAGAGGCAGCGUUUCUUUUUUUGGACCAGGGAUCUGUCAGAUGCACUUUUUCUUUGACAGGUCAGCGUCGAUUUCGGGGGUUGUAAAAUACUUGGGGAAAAGUAGCUCUGCUUCGGGAGAGUGUUAUAGACCUUGGGGGAUGCAGCCCGCGGGAUCGAGGAUUGCAGCAAAUGCCUUUGGCUUGUCGCCUGAUCUCUGGAUGUUACCUCGCUUGUAACAACAUUCUUGUUGCCGGUGAGUACUAAUGCCUAUCAGGUUAGAGCGAUCAAAAAUUUGCUAAGGAUGCUGACGUAAUGGCUUUAAACGAC